Molecule: ribosomal RNA, 492 nt
Filed under: uncultured bacterium
Lineage: Bacteria
Description: partial 16S ribosomal RNA
Rfam family: Bacterial small subunit ribosomal RNA
Source: RNAcentral
AGUGAACGCUGGCGGUAGGCCUAACACAUGCAAGUCGAACGGCAGCACAGUAAGAGCUUGCUCUUACGGGUGGCGAGUGGCGGACGGGUGAGGAAUACAUCGGAAUCUACUUUUUCGUGGGGGAUAACGUAGGGAAACUUACGCUAAUACCGCAUACGACCUACGGGUGAAAGCAGGGGAUCUUCGGACCUUGCGCGAUUCAAUGAGCCGAUGUCGGAUUAGCUGGUUGGCGGGGUAAAGGCCCACCAAGGCGACGAUCCGUAGCUGGUCUGAGAGGAUGAUCAGCCACACUGGAACUGAGACACGGUCCAGACUCCUACGGGAGGCAGCAGUGGGGAAUAUUGGACAAUGGGCGCAAGCCUGAUCCAGCCAUACCGCGUGGGUGAAGAAGGUCUUCGGGUUGUAAAGCCCUUUUGUUGGGAAAGAAAAGCAGCAGGUUAAUACCCCGCUGUUCUGACGGUACCCAAAGAAUAAGCACCGGCUAACUUCGUG